ACCCACCUGAGACUGCAAGCAUCAUGUUGAUGGCUAGGAUGGUGGCCACAGUGAAGCAGGCGAAGGACAAGGACCGUUGGAUCAGACUCUUUUCCCAGUUUUGUAACAAAACAGCCAAUGAAGAGGAGGAAAUUGUCCAUAAACUUCUGGGAGACAAAUUCAAGGGCCAACUGGAACUUCUGCGGAGACUCUUCACAGAGGCCCUCUAUGAGGAAGCAGUCAGCCAGUGGUUCACUCCAGAUGGAUUCCGGUCUCUCUUUGCUCUUGUUGGGACCAAUGGCCAAGGAAUUGGGACCAGGUUAGAAUGUUCCAGAGCUAUUGAAGUUACUCUCAGGGGUGGGAAACUGAGGAAGGUAGCC
RNAcentral lists this small RNA (359 nucleotides) under Pan troglodytes (chimpanzee). Its description in RNAcentral is "retained intron". Lineage: Eukaryota; Metazoa; Chordata; Mammalia; Primates; Hominidae. The record is from RNAcentral.